Molecule: ribosomal RNA, 301 nt
Filed under: uncultured bacterium
Lineage: Bacteria
Description: partial 16S ribosomal RNA
Rfam family: Bacterial small subunit ribosomal RNA
Source: RNAcentral
CAGUCGCCGCGGGAAAACGUAGGUGGCAAGCGUUGUCCGGAUUUAUUGGGCGUAAAGCGAGCGCAGGCGGUUAGAUAAGUCUGAAGUUAGAGGCUGUGGCUUAACCAUAGUACGCUUUGGAAACUGUUUAACUUGAGUGCAAGAGGGGAGAGUGGGAUUCCAUGUGUAGCGGUGAAAUGCGUAGAUAUAUGGAGGAACACCGGUGGCGAAAGCGGCUCUCUGGCUUGUAACUGACGCUGAGGCUCGAAAGCGUGGGGAGCAAACAGGAUUAGAUACCCCUGUAGUCCCUGUCUCUUAUAUA